RNAcentral lists this ribosomal RNA (484 nucleotides) under uncultured bacterium. RNAcentral describes it as "partial 16S ribosomal RNA". It matches the Rfam family "Bacterial small subunit ribosomal RNA", at positions 30 to 507 of the family's 1533-position model. The record is from RNAcentral.
AUUGAACGCUGGCGGCAGGCCUAACACAUGCAAGUCGAGCGGAUGAAGGGAGCUUGCUCCUGGAUUCAGCGGCGGACGGGUGAGUAAUGCCUAGGAAUCUGCCUGGUAGUGGGGGAUAACGUCCGGAAACGGGCGCUAAUACCGCAUACGUCCUGAAGGACAAAGUGGGGGAUCUUCGGACCUCACGCUAUCAGAUGAGCCUAGGUCGGAUUAGCUAGUUGGUGGGGUAAAGGCCUACCAAGGCGACGAUCCGUAACUGGUCUGAGAGGAUGAUCAGUCACACUGGAACUGAGACACGGUCCAGACUCCUACGGGAGGCAGCAGUGGGGAAUAUUGGACAAUGGGCGAAAGCCUGAUCCAGCCAUGCCGCGUGUGUGAAGAAGGUCUUCGGAUUGUAAAGCACUUUAAGUUGGGAGGAAGGGCAGUAAGUUAAUACCUUGCUGUUUUGACGUUACCAACAGAAUAAGCACCGGCUAACUUCGUG